Molecule: ribosomal RNA, 908 nt
Filed under: uncultured bacterium
Lineage: Bacteria
Description: bacterial SSU rRNA
Rfam family: Bacterial small subunit ribosomal RNA
Source: RNAcentral
CAGCCUGAUGCAGCCAUGCCGCGUGUGUGAAGAAGGCCUUCGGGUUGUAAAGCACUUUCAGUCGUGAGGAAGGUAGUGUAGUUAAUAGCUGCAUUAUUUGACGUUAGCGACAGAAGAAGCACCGGCUAACUCCGUGCCAGCAGCCGCGGUAAUACGGAGGGUGCGAGCGUUAAUCGGAAUUACUGGGCGUAAAGCGCAUGCAGGUGGUUUGUUAAGUCAGAUGUGAAAGCCCGGGGCUCAACCUCGGAAUAGCAUUUGAAACUGGCAGACUAGAGUACUGUAGAGGGGGGUAGAAUUUCAGGUGUAGCGGUGAAAUGCGUAGAGAUCUGAAGGAAUACCGGUGGCGAAGGCGGCCCCCUGGACAGAUACUGACACUCAGAUGCGAAAGCGUGGGGAGCAAACAGGAUUAGAUACCCUGGUAGUCCACGCCGUAAACGAUGUCUACUUGGAGGUUGUGGCCUUGAGCCGUGGCUUUCGGAGCUAACGCGUUAAGUAGACCGCCUGGGGAGUACGGUCGCAAGAUUAAAACUCAAAUGAAUUGACGGGGGCCCGCACAAGCGGUGGAGCAUGUGGUUUAAUUCGAUGCAACGCGAAGAACCUUACCUACUCUUGACAUCCAGAGAACUUUUCAGAGAUGAAUUGGUGCCUUCGGGAACUCUGAGACAGGUGCUGCAUGGCUGUCGUCAGCUCGUGUUGUGAAAUGUUGGGUUAAGUCCCGCAACGAGCGCAACCCUUAUCCUUGUUUGCCAGCGAGUAAUGUCGGGAACUCCAGGGAGACUGCCGGUGAUAAACCGGAGGAAGGUGGGGACGACGUCAAGUCAUCAUGGCCCUUACGAGUAGGGCUACACACGUGCUACAAUGGCGCAUACAGAGGGCGGCCAACUUGCGAAAAGUGAGCGAAUCCCAAA